UCUAUUUGUGUCCUAUUUGUCUCUACAUUGUCUACUAUGUUCUAUUUGUAUGCUUGGCUUCUGUGUUCUAUUUGUCUGUAACUCACUAUUUGUAUGAACUUAUGACUCCGGGUAAGAGGUGUCUAUAACGCAGCUAAAAUUUACUCCUUCAAUUACCAAAAAUUAUUAAACCUUUAAAUUGUCCGUGGCAUAUGAUAACACCUGAACUUUUGGACCUUAGUACUUAUUAAACCUUUAAAUUGCAAAUAAAUUCAAAUGUAGCUUCAAGAGAAACUCAUAAAAGCUUCUGCAACUCACUUUGAUACCCUGAGGCACCUCAUUUAGAAUACAAAUGAAUGUUCAACAUAGAAUGAGAAACAUAGCUUUGAUAUAAAUGAAUGGAAUAUUAUGGUAGUUAGGAGAUGUCUAUUCACAGUUGAAUAUGAUGUUGAGUAACUUGAAAUUUUUAUCAAAUUACCUGUUUACUAGACUAGAUUUUGUAUAACAAGAAUUUAAAUAAGAAGGUACUUUUUAAUUCUUUUGAUAGCUGGAAAAUGGCAUUAACAUUUCACUUGUUUUGUUUCAGAAAAUGCAUUCCUUUAACUCUCUAAUUUGGCAUUUCCCUUCUACUUUACUUCUUAAGAUCAUAUAUUUUGGUCAUUUGCAUGUAUCUCCAUUCUGACCUUUUUUGUUGUUGAAACUUCUGUGAUUUUACUUCCACAAUCCCCAAUUUAGUCUAUGAGCCAUU
Molecule: long non-coding RNA, 727 nt
Filed under: Olea europaea (common olive)
Lineage: Eukaryota; Viridiplantae; Streptophyta; Magnoliopsida; Lamiales; Oleaceae
Description: long non-coding RNA (OEUR_LNC013044)
Source: RNAcentral